RNAcentral lists this ribosomal RNA (678 nucleotides) under uncultured bacterium. RNAcentral's name for it is "bacterial SSU rRNA". It matches the Rfam family "Bacterial small subunit ribosomal RNA", at positions 8 to 665 of the family's 1533-position model. The record is from RNAcentral.
AGAGUUUGAUCCUGGCUCAGAACGAACGCUGGCGGCGUGGAUAAGACAUGCAAGUCGAACGGGACUUUAUUUGUAGCAAUACAAGUAAAGUUCAGUGGCGCAAGGGUGCGUAACACGUGGGCAACCUGCCCGGAAAUGUGGGAUAGCUCGCCGAAAGGCGAAUUAAUACCGCAUGUGGCUACCAAGGUCAUCCUUGGGACGCUAAAGAUGGAGCAAUCUAUCGUUUCCGGAUGGGCCCGCGGCCUAUCAGCUAGUUGGUGAGGUAACGGCUCACCAAGGCUAUGACGGGUAGCUGGUCUGAGAGGACGACCAGCCACACUGGAACUGAGACACGGUCCAGACACCUACGGGUGGCAGCAGUCGAGAAUUUUUCUCAAUGGGGGAAACCCUGAAGGAGCGACGCCGCGUGAAGGAUGAAGGUCUUCGGAUCGUAAACUUCUGUCAUUAGAGAACAAAGCCCACCGAUUAACUGUCGGGGGGUCUGAUAGUAUCUGAAGAGGAAGGGACGGCUAACUCUGUGCCAGCAGCCGCGGUAAUACAGAGGUCCCAAGCGUUGUUCGGAUUUAUUGGGCGUAAAGGGUGCGUAGGCGGUCGCCUAAGUCAGGUGUGAAAUCUCGGGGCUCAACCUCGAAACUGCACUUGAUACUGGGUGGCUAGAGUACUGGAGAGGAGACUGGA